This 119-nucleotide unclassified non-coding RNA is filed under the name Entrophospora infrequens. RNAcentral describes it as "ITS2". The record is from RNAcentral. Lineage: Eukaryota; Fungi; Glomeromycota; Glomeromycetes; Entrophosporales; Entrophosporaceae.
ACCCUCUCAAGCGCGGCUUGGAUUUGAAUCAGUGCCGUGGCAGGAUUCCAAUAUCGUUGGCAAUUGACCAUCUGUGAUGACUCACUCCGAGUCAAUUCGCCGGAACACUUCUUUUUAAG